GCUCGGAUGGCAGAAUCAGGCAAUGCGCACCAUGAAAAAUGGGUAGAAUCGCCUGCAGAGCGAGAGAUUGUGGGUUCAAAUCCCACUCCGAGCU
This 94-nucleotide transfer RNA is filed under the name Candidatus Aenigmatarchaeota archaeon. RNAcentral's name for it is "tRNA-Cys". It matches the Rfam family "tRNA". Rfam says of the family: Transfer RNA (tRNA) molecules are approximately 80 nucleotides in length. Lineage: Archaea; Nanobdellati; Candidatus Aenigmatarchaeota. The record is from RNAcentral.